This 517-nucleotide ribosomal RNA is filed under the name Lamprolepis smaragdina. RNAcentral's name for it is "partial 16S ribosomal RNA". It matches the Rfam family "Bacterial large subunit ribosomal RNA", at positions 1850 to 2610 of the family's 2925-position model. The record is from RNAcentral. Lineage: Eukaryota; Metazoa; Chordata; Lepidosauria; Squamata; Scincidae.
AGGUCCCGCCUGCCCAGUGAAACAUUAAACGGCCGCGGUAUUCUAACCGUGCAAAGGUAGCGUAAUCACUUGUCUUCUAAAUAAAGACUAGUAUGAACGGCUAAAUGAGGACAAACCUGUCUCAUGCGACCAAUCAGUGAAACUGAUCUUCCAGUACAAAAGCUGGAAUUAACCCAUAAGACGAGAAGACCCUGUGGAGCUUUAAACCACCCACUAAUGAACUAUAAACUUUUUAAUCCUAGUGGAAGGUUUUGAGUUGGGGCGACUUCGGAAUCAACACACCUUCCGAGCACAAAGGCAAAACCUUUUUCCAAGGCCUACAAGCCAAAGCAUACAAACGACCCAGUCAUACUGAUCAACGAACCAAGUUACCCCAGGGAUAACAGCGCCAUCUUCUUCAAGAGUUCUUAUCGACAAGAAGGUUUACGACCUCGAUGUUGGAUCAGGACACCCAAAUGGUGCAGCCGCUAUUAAAGGUUCGUUUGUUCAACGAUUAACAGUCCUACGUGAUCUGAGU